Molecule: non-coding RNA, 1223 nt
Organism: Rhopilema esculentum
Lineage: Eukaryota; Metazoa; Cnidaria; Scyphozoa; Rhizostomeae; Rhizostomatidae
Source: RefSeq, a predicted model, not a curated record
ACCCCCUUCCCUGCUUUCCAUUGAAUUUACCGUCACGCAAUGUAACAAUUGCUUCAGCUUGUUAUUUGCUUGCCGGUGUACCGAAGACGCGCUCGUCCAUUCGUUUAAGUUUGUAGCUGCAAAGGCUACGAAAGUCAUUUCACUCACGAGAACGAACAUGGAAAAUAAGCUGGACAAGAAUCUGGAAAUGAAGUCUUUAUUAUGCAUAUGCUUCGUCGCAUUAUUUCUUCCUUGUGUAAACGCGGCCCUUCAGAACUGCACAGCACCCGUGUGCGAUCUGAAGACUUGCAAAAACACAUCGAGCAGUUGUUCACAGUUUUGCUAUACGAAGGAUUGCAAAAUGUCUUGUACUUCUAGCGCAGGUUGUUAUACUGAUUGCGUCAAUGGCGGUUGCUCAAAAUUGGCCUGCAAGAUUGAAAGCCCAUCUUCGCCCACCAGACACAAGCCUUGUCAACUAAUGUGCGACGAAAACUGCCCAGACAUUGAAUGCUUUGCUCAAUUUUGCUUCUCGAUAUGCAGAAAAUCUAACUGCAAAAUGACAUGUGACGGCGGGGAAGAAAAGGCUGAGUGUUAUCCAAAGUGCCAUGGUGGAGGCUGCAGCAUCAACGUUAAGUCAUACUAUACAGAGACGAGUUGCCUCAAAGGAUCAUGUACAGUGAAGUUCAGCAAGGCAACUAAAUGGGGCAGUGUCAAUUGUCCCGGCGGAAACUGCUCUCUUACUUGCGCCAAAGGAAACAUAUGCGUUAUACGAAGCCCUUGUCCCAAUUGUACUGGACCAGUUUAUGUUGACGACCCGUUUGCAAGUGGAACUUCUCAAGGAAGUAUUUUGACAAGUACCUUAAUCAUGUCUGCCAUCUGUGCAUUGAGUGUAUUUAUGCUUCUCGCAUAACUGUAUUGCACUUAGGUCACCAUCAUGCUUGUUUUAGCUAACCAUUUAUUAUAAGCCACCGAGUAUUGUUGUUACUUUUUCUGAUAUGGUGAAAUAAUAUUAAAUUUAAACUGCAUUCGAUAAACUGCAACAAGCUUUUGAAGCCAUCACGCCCUGUUAAAAUGGCAAUGCAAUGUUCGAAUAAGCUGGCGGUGGUGUCUUCGAAUGCAAACCUAGUUUGUCGAAACCUUAGUUGGCAAGUAAAUGCUAAGCACGACAAGGUUUCUUCAUCAAAUUGUAAUUCACAGACAUACAGCUUAAUUUGUAUUAUCUUGUAUCAUCGUGCUUUAUCGUG